AUGGCGAUGGCGUCGCCGCCAGCCUGCUCCCUCCUCCUCCCGGCCAUUCCAUCCGCGCCGGCCUACGCUAGUGUCCCACGAGCGCCCCGGUUCCUCACCUGCCCCCGCGCUGUAACGGCCCACCGACCCCUUCCCACGGCCUCCUCACCUAAGGUCGCGGCGCCCGCGGCCAUCGAGAUCCCAGAGGAGUACGCGGAUGAUGUCGAAGCGGUGAACAUCGCGGUGGACGUCACUCAGCUAAUUGGAAAGACCCCAAUGGUAUACCUAAAUAAUGUCGUUGAAGGUUGUGUUGCGAACAUUGCCGCAAAGCUCGAGUACAUGGGGCCUUGCCGAAGCGUCAAAGACAGGAUUGCAUUAAGCAUGAUUAGUGAUGCAGAAGAGAAAGGAUUAAUUUCUCCAAACAAGACCAUUUUGGUAGAACCAACUACUGGGAAUACUGGUAUAGGACUAGCUGCAGUAGCUGCUGCUAGAGGAUACAAAAUGAUAGCAACUAUGCCUUCAUCGAUAGAUGUUGAGAGACGCAUCCUUGUACGUGCAUUUGGAGCAGAUAUUGUGUUAACUGAUCCUACAACAGGACUAAAAGGAGCUGUUGACAAAGCUGAGGAAAUAGUUUCGAAGACACCGAAUGCAUACAUGUUUCAGCAAUUCAACAAUUCAGCUAACAGUGAGAUCCACUUUCAAACCACAGGCCCAGAAAUAUGGGAGGACACACUGGGUACUGUUGACAUACUUGUUGCGAGCAUUGGGACUGGCGACACUAUCACCGGCACUGGGCGCUACUUAAAAAUGAUGAAUAGAGAUAUUAAGGUCAUCGGGGUAGAACCUGCUGAAACUAGUGUGAUUUCUGGCGACAAGCCAGGUUAUAUUCCAAGCAUACUAGAUGUUCAGCUCCUUGAUGAGGUUGUGAAGGUUACCACUGCAGAGGCAGUUGAUGUUGCAAGGCUACUUGCACUAAAAGAGGGCUUGCUGGUUGGCAUUUCGUCAGGUGCUGCAGCAAUUGCUGCUAUAAACGUGGCCAAAAGACCUGAAAAUGCUGGAAAGCUGAUUGCGGUUAUCUUCCCCAGCUUUGGAGAAAGAUAUAUCUCUAGCAUUUUGUUCCGGCCGAUAUACAACUCUGUUCGAAGAAUGAGGAAGAGAUGA
This 1140-nucleotide ribosomal RNA is filed under the name Triticum aestivum (bread wheat). Its description in RNAcentral is "partial small subunit ribosomal RNA". Lineage: Eukaryota; Viridiplantae; Streptophyta; Magnoliopsida; Poales; Poaceae. The record is from RNAcentral.